Molecule: ribosomal RNA, 203 nt
Filed under: Pseudopedinella elastica
Lineage: Eukaryota; Dictyochophyceae; Pedinellales
Description: partial Eukaryotic large subunit ribosomal RNA
Rfam family: Eukaryotic large subunit ribosomal RNA
Source: RNAcentral
UGUUGAGCUUGACUCUAGUCCGACAUUGUGAAAUGACUUAAGAGGUGUAGAAUAAGUGGGAGCGCAAGCGCCGGUGAAAUACCACUACUUUUAAUGUUAUUUUACUUAUUCCGUGAAGUAGAGGCGGGGCCCAAAGCCCCACUUUCUGGAUUUAAGCGCUUCGGCGCGAUCUAGGCGGAAGACAUUGUCAGGUGGGGAGUUUG